AUGCCAGGUUCUAAUCGUUUCUUUAUUUGGUCUGUUUUAUUCUUUUAACUUCAUUCUUUGCAAUUUUGUCCUAGGUGGUAUGCCAAAAGAUUUCUACAUCCUGACAUUGUGGCGCCAUAUGACUAUAUAUUUAUCUGGGAUGAAGAUCUAGGAGUUGAGUAUUUUAAUGCAGAAGAAUAUAUAAGACUAGUGAGGAAAUAUGGCUUGGAGAUUUCACAACCUGGUUUAGAACCUAAUAAAGGGUUAACAUGGCAGAUGACAAAAAGAAGAGGUGAUCGAGAAGUCCACAAAGAAACAGAGGAGAAACCGGGCUGGUGCCCUAGCCCACAUUUGCCUCCCUGUGCAGCAUAUGAAAAGCUUUGAGCAGUUUGUUGAGAUCAUGGCUCCUGUAUUUUCUAGAGAUGCAUGGCGGUGUGUGUGGCAUAUGCUUCAGGUAUAUAUAUCCUCAAAUUUAGAAUUAGUAAGUUCUCAAUUGCUCCAGUUGACCUGUUACUAUCAAGUUUAAGUGUCUU
Long non-coding RNA from Vitis vinifera (wine grape), 512 nucleotides. RefSeq lists it as uncharacterized. NCBI's taxonomy places the organism in Eukaryota, Viridiplantae, Streptophyta, Magnoliopsida, Vitales, Vitaceae. The record is from RefSeq and is a predicted model, not a curated record. The transcript is spliced from 4 exons.